RNAcentral lists this ribosomal RNA (253 nucleotides) under uncultured bacterium. RNAcentral describes it as "partial 16S ribosomal RNA". It matches the Rfam family "Bacterial small subunit ribosomal RNA", at positions 524 to 776 of the family's 1533-position model. The record is from RNAcentral.
UACAGAGGGGGCAAGCGUUAUUCGGAAUUAUUGGGUUUAAAGGGUGCGUAGGCGGGCUAUUAAGUCAGUGGUGAAAGCUCCGAGCUUAACUCGGAAACUGCCAUUGAUACUGACGGUCUUGAGUACAUUUGAGGUGGGCGGAAUGUGUCAUGUAGCGGUGAAAUGCUUAGAUAUGACACAGAACACCGAUUGCGAAGGCAGCUCACUAAACUGUAACUGACGCUGAGGCACGAAAGCGUGGGGAGCAAACAGG